UACUAGAGUAGCACUCGCAUAUCAAUAAGCGGAGGAAAAGAAACUAACAAGGAUUCCCCUAGUAACGGCGAGUGAAGCGGGAAGAGCUCAAAUUUGAAAUCUUAAAGGGUUUCCCUUUACGAAUUGUAGUUUAAAGAAGUGUUUUCUGUUGAGGUUUUGGUAAAAGUUCUUUGGAAUAGGACAUCAUAGAGGGUGAGAAUCCCGUAUUUGACCUUUACUUUCAACUUUGUGAUACACUUUCAAAGAGUCGGAUUGUUUGGGAAUGCAGUCCAAAAUGGGUGGUAAAUUUCAUCUAAAGCUAAAUAUUGGCGAGAGACCGAUAGCGAACAAGUACCGUGAGGGAAAGAUGAAAAGAACUUUGAAAAGAGAGUUAAACAGUACGUGAAAUUGUCAAAAGGGAAGCGUUUGACACCAGUGUUGUUUUUCUGAAAAUCAAUUAAAGAACUGUUUAUGCUAAGCUGUUAAGACUUUAUCAGCUAUCUGUUUAGUUUUGAGCUUUUCUUUAAUGCACUUUUCAGUUAACAAGUCAACAUCAAUUUCUUUUGCUGUAAAAAAGCUUGAGGAAGGUGGCUUGAGAUCCGUCUUAAGUGUUUAUAGCCUCUUGCCUAUGCAGUCGGAGAGAUUGAGGUCUGCAGCGUAGAUCCUUCGGGGCUAAAUGCAUUUGUGCUAAGUUAUAGCAUUUUAUAGACAACUUGUUGACUAUGAUUUGUCUUGUAGCUUACUCGCUUAUGUUAUUUUACCUACGCUUAGGAUGUUGAUCUACAGAGCGAGAGU
RNAcentral lists this ribosomal RNA (774 nucleotides) under uncultured Neocallimastigales. Its description in RNAcentral is "partial large subunit ribosomal RNA". It matches the Rfam family "Eukaryotic large subunit ribosomal RNA", at positions 20 to 635 of the family's 3401-position model. Lineage: Eukaryota; Fungi; Neocallimastigomycota; Neocallimastigomycetes; Neocallimastigales. The record is from RNAcentral.